GGAUGUGAGGGUGAUCUGGCUGCUGUAUCUGUCACCGCCCUGAUUGCCAGGGUUGAUUUGGCUGAUCUGGCUGCCUAGGCAGGCUUACUCCUUCACUGCUCCAUGUGCCUCCCUCCUGAAGGUGUGCACUUGGUCAAAGAGGAUGACUUUCCACAAACACAGGAGGACUGGUCUUCAGUCAAGGGUAUACGAGUAGCUGUGCUCUUCUGCUAGAACCUCCAAAUAAGCUCUCAAUGUUGCUAAAAUAUUUAAUACAAAUAAAGUUUUAAGUGCUAUCAUAAAUACUUCGAUACACUAUAUUAU
RNAcentral lists this small nuclear RNA (303 nucleotides) under Jaculus jaculus (lesser Egyptian jerboa). Its description in RNAcentral is "7SK RNA (ENSJJAG00000004509.1)". It matches the Rfam family "7SK RNA". Rfam says of the family: 7SK was discovered as an abundant small nuclear RNA in the mid-70s but a possible function has only recently been suggested. Two independent studies have found that 7SK RNA binds the CDK9/cyclin T complex (known as elongation factor P-TEFb). Lineage: Eukaryota; Metazoa; Chordata; Mammalia; Rodentia; Dipodidae. The record is from RNAcentral.